AUGGUGGCAGAACCUGUUCUGAGCUUUCUUCCUCCUCUUGCCCACCACGGGAUCCAGCAAAUAGCUCAAAUGCCUAAAAGGGCGGCGCCUCUCCUCCACCAGGGAUCACUGAUGUCAAAGACCACAUCACACAACUGGGCUCAACCAGUCUCUGCAGUGGCCCACCGGCAGCCUUCUGCGGUCAACCUUGUGUCUUCCUGCAAGCUGCUCGGGGAAUGCUGGAGAACUCAGCGCUGCCCAAACUUGCUGCGGGCCGGCACCUGGAAGAGCCAGCGAGUUAAAAUGUGAAUGCUUUUUGAAAAUCUCAUCCUGGAUCCCACUGCAGAUCUAAUGAGUCAUAAUCUUCUGGAAAUGAGUACAGGAAUUCAUUCCAGGUAAAUCUUAUAAGGCAAGUUAAGUAAAUGUUAUUUUAAUUCCUUAAAUGCUUUUCUUAAUCUAGAGAUUCU
RNAcentral lists this long non-coding RNA (446 nucleotides) under Cavia porcellus (domestic guinea pig). RNAcentral's name for it is "lncRNA (ENSCPOG00000030523.1)". The record is from RNAcentral. Lineage: Eukaryota; Metazoa; Chordata; Mammalia; Rodentia; Caviidae.